GAGGUUUGAAAAAACUGACCUAAGACAGUAGGGGAGCUGGACUCAUAAACAUCCUACCGAGGCACAAAACGAUUAUUGAGAUAAACGUAUUUGUACUUUCGUGUCUAGGUUUAGGUGCGAUUUUUUUGUGCCUAG
Streptococcus suis 05ZYH33 is the source of this 135-nucleotide non-coding RNA. NCBI's taxonomy places the organism in Bacteria, Bacillati, Bacillota, Bacilli, Lactobacillales, Streptococcaceae. The record is from Rfam.